GGGUCCGCGUCUCAUUAGCUUGUUGGCGGGGUAAUGGCCCACCAAGGCUACGAUGGGUAGCUGGUCUGAGAGGAUGAUCAGCCACACUGGAACUGAAACACGGUCCAGACUCCUACGGGAGGCAGCAGUGGGGAAUAUUGCGCAAUGGGGGAAACCCUGACGCAGCGACGCCGUGUGAGGGAAGAAGGCUUUCGGGUCGUAAACCUCUGUCGGGAGGGAAGAACCUUCCAGGUCUGAAUAAGCCCUGGAACUGACGGUACCUCCAAAGGAAGCACCGGCUAACUCCGUGCCAGCAGCCGCGGUAAU
RNAcentral lists this ribosomal RNA (306 nucleotides) under uncultured delta proteobacterium. RNAcentral's name for it is "bacterial SSU rRNA". It matches the Rfam family "Bacterial small subunit ribosomal RNA", at positions 227 to 524 of the family's 1533-position model. Lineage: Bacteria; Deltaproteobacteria. The record is from RNAcentral.